RNAcentral lists this transfer RNA (70 nucleotides) under Dipodomys ordii (Ord's kangaroo rat). It matches the Rfam family "tRNA". From Rfam's summary of the family: Transfer RNA (tRNA) molecules are approximately 80 nucleotides in length. Their secondary structure includes four short double-helical elements and three loops (D, anti-codon, and T loops). Lineage: Eukaryota; Metazoa; Chordata; Mammalia; Rodentia; Heteromyidae. The record is from Rfam by way of RNAcentral.
GGGAAUGUGGCUUAGUGGUAGAGUGCUUGCCUAGUAUGCAGGAAGCCCUGGGUUCAAUUCCUCAGUACUA